AGAGGAGAUAUUCUACUGAGAGAGAGAUUAGAUUUCGAGGUUAAGGAAUUCUUUUCAUUCAGGGUUACAGCUAGCGAUGGUAGACAAAAUGCUACAGCCAGAGUAAACAUUACAGUCCUCAACAUAAACGACUGGGAUCCAAGG
Long non-coding RNA from Eurytemora carolleeae, 144 nucleotides. RefSeq lists it as uncharacterized. The record is from RefSeq and is a predicted model, not a curated record. Lineage: Eukaryota; Metazoa; Arthropoda; Copepoda; Calanoida; Temoridae. The transcript is spliced from 3 exons.